CAGUCGCCGCGGGAAUACGAAGGGUGCAAGCGUUAAUCGGAAUUACUGGGCGUAAAGCGUGCGUAGGCGGUUUGUUAAGUCUGUUGUGAAAUCCCCGGGCUCAACCUGGGAAUGGCAAUGGAUACUGGCAAGCUAGAGUGUGUCAGAGGAUGGUGGAAUUCCCGGUGUAGCGGUGAAAUGCGUAGAGAUCGGAAGGAACAUCCGUGGCGAAGGCGACUAUCUGGGCCAACACUGACGCUGAGGCACGAAAGCGUGGGGAGCAAACAGGAUUAGAUACCCCAGUAGUCCCUGUCUCUUAUAA
This 301-nucleotide ribosomal RNA is filed under the name uncultured bacterium. RNAcentral describes it as "partial 16S ribosomal RNA". It matches the Rfam family "Bacterial small subunit ribosomal RNA", at positions 509 to 809 of the family's 1533-position model. The record is from RNAcentral.